UUGAACGCUGGCGGCAGGCCUAACACAUGCAAGUCGAGCGGCAGCGCGGGGCAACCUGGCGGCGAGCGGCGGACGGGGGAGUAACGCGUAGGAAUCUACCCAGUAGCGGGGGAUAGCCCGGGGAAACCCGGAUUAAUACCGCAUACGCCAUAAGGGGGAAACCAGGGGAUCUUCGGACCUUGCACUAUUGGCAGAGCCUGCGUUGGAUUAGCUAGUUGGUAGGGUAAAGGCCUACCAAGGCAACGAUCCAUAACUGGUCUGAGAGGAUGAUCAGUCACACCGGAACUGAGACACGGUCCGGACUCCUACGGGAGGCAGCAGUGGGGAAUAUUGGACAAUGGGGGCAACCCUGAUCCAGCCAUGCCGCGUGUGUGAAGAAGGCCUUCGGGUUGUAAAGCACUUUAAGUGGGGAGAAAGGUUCGGCAGUUAAUACCUGCCGGAAGUGAUGUUACCCACAGAAUAAGCACCGGCUAACUCUGUGCCAGCCGCCGCAGUAA
RNAcentral lists this ribosomal RNA (497 nucleotides) under uncultured bacterium. RNAcentral describes it as "partial 16S ribosomal RNA". It matches the Rfam family "Bacterial small subunit ribosomal RNA", at positions 29 to 523 of the family's 1533-position model. The record is from RNAcentral.